UCCUACGGGAGGCAGCAGUGAGGAAUAUUGGUCAAUGGACGCAAGUCUGAACCAGCCAUGCCGCGUGCAGGAAGACGGCUCUAUGAGUUGUAAACUGCUUUUGUACGAGGGUAAACUCACCUACGUGUAGGUGACUGAAAGUAUCGUACGAAUAAGGAUCGGCUAACUCCGUGCCAGCAGCCGCGGUAAUACGGAGGAUUCAAGCGUUAUCCGGAUUUAUUGGGUUUAAAGGGUGCGUAGGCGGUUUGAUAAGUUAGAGGUGAAAUCCCGGGGCUUAACUCCGGAACUGCCUCUAAUACUGUUAGACUAGAGAGUAGUUGCGGUAGGCGGAAUGUAUGGUGUAGCGGUGAAAUGCUUAGAGAUCAUACAGAACACCGAUUGCGAAGGCAGCUUACCAAACUAUAUCUGACGUUGAGGCACGAAAGCGUGGGGAGCAAACAGGAUUAGAUACCCUGGUAGUCCACGCAGUAAACGAUGAUAACUCGUUGUCGGCGAUACACAGUCGGUGACUAAGCGAAAGCGAUAAGUUAUCCACCUGGGGAGUACGUUCGCAAGAAUGAAACUCAAAGGAAUUGACGGGGGCCCGCACAAGCGGAGGAACAUGUGGUUUAAUUCGAUGAUACGCGAGGAACCUUACCCGGGCUUGAAAGUUAGCGACGAUUCUUGAAAGAGGAUUUCCCUUCGGGGCGCGAAACUAGGUGCUGCAUGGUUGUCGUCAGCUCGUGCCGUGAGGUGUCGGGUUAAGUCCCAUAACGAGCGCAACCCCUACCGUUAGUUGCCAUCAGGUCAAGCUGGGCACUCUGGCGGGACUGCCGGUGAUAAGCCGAGAGGAAGGUGGGGAUGACGUCAAAUCAGCACGGCCCUUACGUCCGGGGCUACACACGUGUUACAAUGGUAGGUACAGAGGGCAGCUACCCAGCGAUGGGAUGCGAAUCUCGAAAGCCUAUCUCAGUUCGGAUUGGAGGCUGAAACCCGCCUCCAUGAAGUUGGAUUCGCUAGUAAUCGCGCAUCAGCCAUG
Molecule: ribosomal RNA, 1018 nt
Filed under: human gut metagenome
Description: bacterial SSU rRNA
Rfam family: Bacterial small subunit ribosomal RNA
Source: RNAcentral